RNAcentral lists this transfer RNA (72 nucleotides) under Elusimicrobiota bacterium. Its description in RNAcentral is "Elusimicrobia bacterium tRNA-Ser". It matches the Rfam family "tRNA". From Rfam's summary of the family: Transfer RNA (tRNA) molecules are approximately 80 nucleotides in length. The record is from RNAcentral. Lineage: Bacteria; Pseudomonadati; Elusimicrobiota.
GCUCCCGUAGCUUAACGGAUAAAGCCUUGGCCCGCUAAGCCGAGCAUCCGGGUUCAACUCCCGGCGGGAGCA